GUUAAGCGUGCUUGGCCUAGAGUAAUUUUAGGAUGGGUGACC
Molecule: ribosomal RNA, 42 nt
Filed under: Oryza sativa Indica Group (long-grained rice)
Lineage: Eukaryota; Viridiplantae; Streptophyta; Magnoliopsida; Poales; Poaceae
Also listed under: 1 other name
Source: RNAcentral